Molecule: long non-coding RNA, 2831 nt
Organism: Cannabis sativa
Lineage: Eukaryota; Viridiplantae; Streptophyta; Magnoliopsida; Rosales; Cannabaceae
Exons: 5
Source: RefSeq, a predicted model, not a curated record
GUCUAGAAACACUACAAGAAAGGGGACCUUUUAUCCCACUUUUUUAGUUAACAAAAAUAAAAAAAUGGGAUAAAAGAUAUAUUGAGACUUUUUAUCCCACUUUUAGAUUUGGCUCCUCAAAUAUGCAACAAAUAUUUUUUUAGACAAGGGCUCUGUUUGGUAGAAAGUUAAAAAAAAAAUAUUAAAGGCAAAAAAAUAAUUUCAAGAUUUGAUUUUUAUGAGUUUGCCAAACAGGGGAUAAAUUUUUUUAGGGAAACCUUUUAUCCCAGUUAUUAGUUAAAAACCGGGAUAAAAGGGUUUAGUGUGAAACCCUUUUAUCCCGGUUUUAACUAAAUAACCGGGAUAAAAAGUCAUCCCUAAAAUCCCAAACGUCAACCUAUCGAUCGACAUAACAGCUAGCUCGACGUACAACCCCCAAGUCCCAACCCAGAAACCCUCUCGCCCAAACCCAGAAACCCUCGCCCAAACCCUCACGCAAACCCUCUCGCCCAAACCCUCUCGUCUAAAUCCUCGCCCAAACCCAGAAAUUAACCCUCGCCCAAACCGACAUUGGCGGCGCCGUAGAAGAUAACGCCUCCCGUUUGGUCUUUAUUCCCAGGUUUGCUCUUUCUUUUUAUUUCUUUCUAUUUUCUUACUUUAUUUUAUCUGUUGUUGUUGUUGCUGUUUCUUUUCAUAUAUUGGGCCUGCUGUUUCUAUUUUCUUUCUUUUUCAUUUGUUUCAAAACUCCAUUAACAACACAUUUUCUCCUACUCUUAACCCCAUACUAAAGACUAUUCUCAUUCCAACAUAAAACAUUUCACCAGUUGGGAAGCUUGGAGAGAAGUUACUGAAUUGUUUUAAGGUAUUGACAUAUCUCAGGGCCUUCAAAUUCUUGAGUUGUUUAUUAGUAAAGGUUUACUUACUUUCUCUUUUGUGUUUUAUGGCUCUUAAUAAUUAUAUCAUAUGAUAAUAGAAGAAUUAAUUUAUGUGUUGCCUUGCUGUUUAUUUUUUUUUUUUUUGUCUAGAGAGUAGAGACUCUACUAUAAUGUGAUUACUACUACUUUAUCUCUGAUAGAUUUUUUACUUUUGACAAUAAACUGAUAUGAACACUAACAUUAUAAUUUGCAAAGUAUGCACUUGAGAAAAGUCUGUUCUGUUGUUGUUGGGGUUCCUUAGAAAUUUCUUAUUGCAUUAGUGAAUACUGAAUAGUCAACUUUAGCAGUCCUUUUUAAUUUUAUUACUGUGAUUAAUUGGGUGAAACCAUAAAAAUGAGUGAUCUUUAUCUUUUGAUUGUGUAUGGAGGAAGAUGUUGUAUCAAAAUAAGAGAUUAUUAUGUGUUUGGUGCUGCUAAUAGUAAGUUAUAUUGAGCUAAAUUAUUCUUUUUCUUCUAUCUAUCUAUGUUUUGCAAAUAAAUUUUGGACUUCAAAACUAGCAUCUUUGAUAACAGAGUGGAGGACUGAAACAUUUUUAGAGUCUUCAAUGUGAAUGCCAUCAGUAUUGGGACUUAGAGCAGGAGAGUUUAUAGAAACAGAGUCAACUUGACUUGACAACUUGUAUAUGCCAUCAAUAUAUUGUUUUGUAUAUGUUAGUGUUUGUUACAGUAAAACCAUUAUAAAUUAAGAACUUUAUGACUUGACAACUUGACAAAAUUAUAAUUUGAUCGAGGCUAUUAAUUUAUCAAGGCUAUUUUGUAUAAUUAUUUGUGUUGUAAUGGUGUUGAUGAUGAUGAUGAUUAUUAUUUUGUAUAAUAAAUUACAGAUGUAAUUAACAUUAUUAUUAAAUCAUUUUUAUUUACAAAAGUGGUAAUAUAGGUUUUAGAAAUAAUUUUAGUGAUCAAGUCUAACUAUCAAAAAUUAACAUUUAUUUUUCUUAUGGCACUCAUUGUUUUGUUAACAACAAUUUAUUUACUUAGCUAACAUUGGUUUAUGUAAUAGUUAGUAAUCAAUAGUCCUUGAAAAAGUCAUUUUGAAUGUGAUGCAGCAGAAACUAAUAAAAUAAAAUUAAUAAAAUUACAAUUAGCUUAUUAUAAAUAUAUAUAUAUUUAUUAGUAGAUUAAUUUAAUUUAAUUUAAUUACAACAGAUGAUGAGAGAAAGGUGAAGUUUCUGAAAAGCUUUCGAGGAGCUAAGACGAGAUGACAAAGCAAAAGGAUGCAAAUAAGCCAAAAGGACGAGGCAGGACAAAAAAGAAUGACAUCAACAAUCUGAAAGCUCAAGGACGCAAGACAAAACUAGAGUGGAAUGAGAAAUGAGAACCUAUAGGAACAGCAUAUGCAGAUAUGCAAUCAUGGAUUGGGGUUAAAGCAAGAUCUACAGUCCCUCUAAAUUAUGAUGAUUGGAGACAUGUAGAUUCGAAACUCAAGGGGAAAAUAUGGAAAGACACAUACAGGUUCUUGACAAGACUCAUAUUUCUCUUCAGGCCAUGUUCUUGGAAUAUAUGAGAGUAAAAGGUAAAAAUGAGUUUGUGAGGGUUCCUGUCAACCCAUCCUUAUUCUACCGAGUUCACAUCUACAUAACUUCCGAAGAUGUCAUACAAGUGGCCACCCAAGAUGAACUUACGGGUUCAGCUAUGUUAUUUGGACUAAGAUGCAUUUGGGAAAAUUUAAAUCAAAGACAAAUAUUAGUUCAAAUGCUAUUGUAUUUGGCAAAAAUGGACCGGAGAUAUGGACCUUUGCUUGUCCAAAGCAACCAUACAAUUACGAAUGUGGUUACUAUGUACUAACUUACAUUCGUGAUAUGCUUCAACAUUCAAAUCCUAUUACAGCCAUAAAAGCAAAAUUUGGCGGUCUAUCCCAAUAUUUUGAGGACGAUCAUCUCUUACCGCUUCGACAACAGUGGUUAAGUCAAUUGCUUCC